Molecule: ribosomal RNA, 243 nt
Filed under: Staphylococcus epidermidis
Lineage: Bacteria; Bacillati; Bacillota; Bacilli; Caryophanales; Staphylococcaceae
Description: partial 23S ribosomal RNA
Rfam family: Bacterial large subunit ribosomal RNA
Source: RNAcentral
UGUUAUCGACAUGUGAAUUCAUAGCAUGUCAGAAGGCAGACCCGGAGAACUGAAACAUCUUAGUACCCGGAGGAAGAGAAAGAAAAAUCGAUUCCCUGAGUAGCGGCGAGCGAAACGGGAAUAGCCCAAACCAACAAGCUUGCUUGUUGGGGUUGUAGGACACUCUAUACGGAGUUACAAAAGAACAUGUUAGACGAAUCAUCUGGAAAGAUGAAUCAAAGAAGGUAAUAAUCCUGUAGUCGA